Molecule: long non-coding RNA, 4663 nt
Filed under: Zostera marina
Lineage: Eukaryota; Viridiplantae; Streptophyta; Magnoliopsida; Alismatales; Zosteraceae
Description: long non-coding RNA (ZMAR_LNC000528)
Source: RNAcentral
UAUAGGUUACAGAUAGGUAGAGAGGCUAUUUAGGUUUAUAGGUAGAGAAGUUUAGCCAUUGGUUCAUUGUUCACUACGUCGAUUUUUGGGUUCACUACCUGUGAUUUCGUGUUCGGUCGUUCGAUUUCGGGUCUGUUCGAUUAGUUUAAGUUCUCGAUUGGGUUGUCUGUUCAUCGUGUUCUCGAUUGGGUUGUUUGUUCAUCGUGUUUUCGGGUUCCAAUUCCAAACGUUCUUUUCUCUUAUAGCUGUGAUUUCGUGUUCUGUCGUUCGUUCGAUUACUGUGCGUUUUCGAUUCGGUUGUCUGUUCAUCGUGUUUUCGAUUGGGCUGUCUAUUCAUCGUGUUUUUGGGUUCGCUGAGAUUUUCGAGUUCAGAUCCUGAACGUUCUUUCAUUCGAUUAGUUCGAGUUUUCGAUUAGGUUGUUUGUUCAUCGUUCUGUUUUCGUCGUUCAUCGUUCGGCAUGUCGACGGGGUAGGGUAUGUCGUUGUAUUUUCUUGUUCUUCUUUCUCUUCGUCGACGGGGUUUGGGUUUGGGUUCGGUACUUUGACGUGUUUUCUGGUUUGCCUACAUCUAGUUCGCUUGACUUCGAUUCAACCUAUGUACAAAUUAGGUUACUUCCAAGUUAGGUUAGGGUUCACAUAAGCUACUUCCGAGUUGGGCUGUACAAAUUAGGCCUAAUCUGUGAAUUGGCAAAAACCACUGUAACCCGGAAGUGUUUUUUAGUCUUUAAGAUUGGCUCCGCAAUAUCCAGAACGAUUUCACAUGACGGAUUCGAGGAUGUCAUCCGUUUGUCGCCUGAAGUACCUAGAUUUGUUUUACUCAGUCACAUGCCUCUGAUACCCGAAAAAGUCUACUACAGAAGAUCUUGGCACUUUAAAUAUACUCAAUCACUAAGAUUGGUUUAUUUGAGUUAGUUGUAAGUUAAAGGUAUUUUCACUUACAACUCUAGACUCUUCACUGUCUUCAACUCCAGCGCGAUGCUAAAGUUCUCGGCGAAAACUAUCGGCGAUGGUUCGAAAACUAGAGACGGGUGGAUGCUCGACUAACGGCGACGGAGUACGUCGUCAGCAGCGGCAUUUCAAGGAAGGCAAUGGGUUGCGAUAUCAGAAGGUAGAAGCAAUGUAUUCGUUUGAUUGUUAAAAAAGUAAGUAAAUGGGUUUGGUUGCUAACUUUCUACAACAUCGAAUUCGGAUUAUUCCGAUUAUUUAUUAUUCGGAUCUAAUGGCGGUAGAAAAUUUAUAUGUAAAGGAAGAUCCGGUAAAUUAAUACAGUGGUAAGUAAUUAGCGAUUUACUAAUCCAUCACUAUAAAAAGAAUUAAGUGCUAAUUAAGGUUUUUAAUUAAGAAAUAAAUUCUGUUUAUUAUUAUUCUCCGGCGCCGGCGAUCACCAUACGACUGAGGCGGCUGGGACCAAGCUUUCCUCUCCUCUGCGAAAUCCUUCGUCUAAUGAUAUCCACCUCACUCCUCCUCCUGAUCCGCAUCAUUGAUUCUUCUUCCACCACAAAUCUCCGCAUGAGAACGUCAUCCCUAAGCGAUUUCCCGCGGAAGAUCCUCCGGGUUCGUUCAACCGACGACCUCGACGGGACCGCCACAGACUUCGAUCUCGUGUAACUGUUGCUUCUUCUCGGAGUAGCGUCAGAUCGGAAGCUUUCGCCUUGGGAGGUGGAGGAGAUCGGAGCACACAGACACACAUGCGUGAGUGAGGUUGCUAUUCGCAACGACGAGCAUUUUUUUAGCUUCGAUCUGGUGGAAUGGGAAGGAAUUGGGGUUUUUCUCUCCGUAGGUUUCCAUAUCUUGAUUGCUUCUACUACUCUUCUGUAUCGUGUCUUCCUCGAGUCCGAUCUGAUUGGUUGAUUGAUUGAUCAUCGGCAACAAUUAACAACCGUUAGAAACUCCAAAUCUGAAGAAUCAAAGAAACAAACCAAAUCCGAUCAUCAUACAUUCAUACCUGGAGGAAGGUCGUGGAGGAGUCUGGUCCUGCAAGAACAGCAAAUGGAGGAACAUCUGUCGAUGGAAGAUGAGAGGUAUGGAGUUCAUCUUCGGAAUCAGAUAGAGAGGAGUUAUAUUAAUCAAACCGGAGAAGAAGGUAAAACAGAUCAGAAAUCAUUUCCCUUUUCUUUCUUUUUUGUGGGAAUCUUCUGCUUUGGCAGAUAAGAACACUCUUUUUUGAAUGGUAAGCUCGAUCAGGCAGACAGACAAAAACAGACUGCCAGAUUUGAAUUUCCAAAGAAAAAAGUGGAUUGAUCUCCAAAACCACUUUUGCUUUUUUGUUUUUUUGGAAUUCAAAGAAAACAAUCUCUGUCAAAUCUCUGUAAAAAACUAAAAAACAAUCAUUGCAACAAAUUAAGAACAGAAUCAAUCCAUUUCUUCCAUAUUGACUGUUGUGUUGCUUAUGUACUACAGUACAGCUCAGGAUGGGGGAGGGAGCAAAGACCAGCCAUUCCAUUUCCAACAGGUAUGGUAGAGCAAUUUGAUUUAUGAUUUUGCUUUAGUUUAAAUUGUCAGAAAUCAAUCUAAGAGCCACCCAUCAUUAAAGUUUUUCAGAAUAUUCUUUGCCUCUUUAACAAAACUUCAUUGACAGAUUAACUCAACUAAUCAUAGUAAUUAUUAAAGUUUCUAAAAAUUCAUAGUUCAGAGAAUUUUUCGCUUUUUUGAACUAUGAUUAGAAAUUUAGCAUCAACCUGACUGAUGAUACCCUCGGCCACUGAAGUGAUCCAAGAAUAAAAUCAGUAGACCCAACCUAAUACAACAGUCUAGGAACGUCCCUAAAUCAGUAGAUUUCUUCUUUAAAUUAGAAUGAUCUCUUCUUUAAAUUUCUAGAUUUCUCAAAAUUCACAAACUCAUAUUUCACUAUGUGAAAAUAAUGGUUAUAUGAUCAAAUCAUCUAUCAAAUAUUCAAGUCAGUUUGAAUUUUGGACAAAAAAUGAGGAUUUUCAACAAAUAUCAUGUUUUACAAAGGUAUGAGAAAAUAUAUAUCAUAUUAUAUAUACCUUGUAUUCUUUGAAUAAUGGUACAACCACUGAAUAAUAAACAUGUCUGCAAACAAACCUAGAAUUUCUGCUAGAAGUGAAACUCAUUUAUAGAAUAUAAGUACUAAUUUAAUCACUAGAGCACCAAAGGUGGAGGGAGACUGGAGAUACUGUAAUCAAUCACCUCUACUAUGUUAUGGGUGGGGUAAACAAUCUAAUUGGCUGUACCUUUUUUUUCUGGAAUCUCACUGAGUCUUUGGUCUAGAUGGUGUCACUUUUGCAAGGGUCGACCGUUCAGAUUGUGAGAAGAGAAUGAGCAUGUACAUAAUAGCAGUGACUAAUAAUAAACCGCCGCCCGAUAAUGAAAUGCCUUUCCAUGUCGACAGGAGGGAUGACCAUUUAAAAAAAUGGUACAUAGAAAACGCAAGGAGAGCGGACCAAAACACAACGACCUGUUUGUUCGAAAGAAAUACAAUUAGUUCGAAAAUAUCAAAUAUAGAAUAUUUCAGGCAGAGCACAGAUUGGAAGAGUGCAACUGUGCAAGUGUUCGUGACUUCUUUUAGUGCUAUGUUUUACAAUUUAAAUUGAAAUUUUAUUAUUGAACUUGAACCUUCUUGCUAUUAUUAAAUUUAUCCAUUAUUUGAUAAUUGAUUCCUUUCAGAAAAUGAUAGUACUGAUUCAUCAUAUCAUAAUAAUUAAUUACCAGCAAAGACUUUAUUGGUCGGCCAAUAAGAUGGUGUUUUUCUGCAAAACUACCAUCAGCAAAAUGUUUGUCCAGUAAAGAAUCCUGGCAAUACAAAAGAACAAUGAUGGUAAGACUAUUUAGAUUGAUAGACUUCAUUAUAAUUAUUUAUCUGUAACUAUCAAUGAAAAUUAGCGUUAGUUAAUCACAUUGUAAUAAUCUAGAAUGCAAACUAGAAGUCAUCUUUUCUUUAACUGUUCUUAUUCCAGAUCUCUCUUAAUUCCGUUAGCGGAACAUUUGGAUUUCGUUUUCUGGAAAAUAAUGAAUAUUCCAGUUUCCACCCAAUCCAGUCCAGAUAUUGGGGGAUCUGACGGAGGCAGCACAAAAGAUUACGCACCACUCUCCCCCUUGGGGGCUAAUAUGGAAUGCUAUUGGGUGCUUGUCGUGGCAUAUAUGGACAGAAAGAAAUAAAAGGUAUAGACAAUACAUUAGUAGGCCUCCUGAGGUAGUCCUUAAGGAGGUCAUUAAAGACAUCAGUUUCUCCUUUGAUUCAGUGUAUUACAAGAAGAGUUGUUGUCACCCUUUGGAGACAUUUAUGAUGGAAGGAAGUAUGGGAGACCAACCUCCUGAGGCAGCGUAUCUAGUUACUAUAUAAAUAGACUACAUAGCUAAUGGGAGAGAAUCAAUGAGCUUUUUGCUCAUUUCUUUUUUACUUCUGUUUUUAUUUCUAUACUCUAUUUUUUGUAAACUUAGCAUUAGCCUUAUUCUAAUGAAAUUUAAUUGCUUCAAAAAAAAAAUCUAGAAUGUUCCAUUGGGUAAAAGAUUACAUGAUCAGUUAGAUCAGUAAUGGUACCUUCAAGUGUAUAAAUAAAUUAUUAAGUUCUAUAUGAGAAGCAUCAAGUAUCACAUCCCCCCGACCCCCAUUAAUAGUAACAGACUUCAAUUAUGAUAACCAUUUCAUUUAUUUAGCAUAAUUAAAAAAAAUAUGAAGCUGAAAAUAGUCUAAAAAUUUAAG